RNAcentral lists this ribosomal RNA (253 nucleotides) under uncultured bacterium. Its description in RNAcentral is "partial 16S ribosomal RNA". It matches the Rfam family "Bacterial small subunit ribosomal RNA", at positions 524 to 776 of the family's 1533-position model. The record is from RNAcentral.
UACGGAGGGUGCAAGCGUUAUCCGGAUUCACUGGGUUUAAAGGGUGCGUAGGCGGGUCUGUAAGUCAGUGGUGAAAUCCUGGAGCUUAACUCCAGAACUGCCAUUGUUACUAUAGGUCUUGAAUAUUGUGGAGGUUUGCGGAAUAUGUCAUGUAGCGGUGAAAUGCAUAGAUAUGACAUAGAACACCUAUUGCGAAGGCAGCAGGCUACACAUAUAUUGACGCUGAGGCACGAAAGCGUGGGGAUCAAACAGG